RNAcentral lists this transfer RNA (69 nucleotides) under Marmota monax (woodchuck). Its description in RNAcentral is "tRNA.Ala". Lineage: Eukaryota; Metazoa; Chordata; Mammalia; Rodentia; Sciuridae. The record is from RNAcentral.
GGGGUUGUGGCUCAGCGGUAGAGCGCUGGCCUAGCACGUGCAGUGCUGGGUUCGAUCCUCAGCACCACA